AUCUUUGUUACUUUUCAAAUAAAAAAUUAAAAAAUCUGUUCUUAUCAGUUUAAUAUCUGAAACAUCCCCUAUCUGGGGACCAUAUAUUAAAUGGAUUUUUCGAACAGGGAGAUGGAAAAAGAUCUUGCUCUGUCCACUCCACGCAUUGCAGUGUAAUAGAUAGACCGCCCUGACUGUCCAGUGUAUAAUCG
This is a small nuclear RNA of Bufo gargarizans (Asiatic toad), 191 nucleotides long. RefSeq annotates it as U2 spliceosomal RNA. Lineage: Eukaryota; Metazoa; Chordata; Amphibia; Anura; Bufonidae. The transcript has a single exon. The record is from RefSeq and is a predicted model, not a curated record.